RNAcentral lists this ribosomal RNA (282 nucleotides) under Salmonella enterica subsp. salamae serovar 48:d:z6. RNAcentral's name for it is "partial 23S ribosomal RNA". It matches the Rfam family "Bacterial large subunit ribosomal RNA", at positions 253 to 573 of the family's 2925-position model. Lineage: Bacteria; Pseudomonadati; Pseudomonadota; Gammaproteobacteria; Enterobacterales; Enterobacteriaceae. The record is from RNAcentral.
GCGAACGGGGAGGAGCCCAGAGCCUGAAUCAGCAUGUGUGUUAGUGGAAGCGUCUGGAAAGGCGCGCGAUACAGGGUGACAGCCCCGUACACAAAAGCGCAUAUGCUGUGAGCUCGAUGAGUAGGGCGGGACACGUGGUAUCCUGUCUGAAUAUGGGGGGACCAUCCUCCAAGGCUAAAUACUCCUGACUGACCGAUAGUGAACCAGUACCGUGAGGGAAAGGCGAAAAGAACCCCGGCGAGGGGAGUGAAACAGAACCUGAAACCGUGUACGUACAAGCAG